UCCCCAAGGCCACCCCAGAUGUCACCAAGGUCCCCUCAGAAGUCCCAGAUGUCCCCAAGGCCACCUGAGGUGUCCCCAAGGCCACCCCAGAUGUCCCCAAUGCCCUCUCAGAAGUCCCAGAUGUCCCCAAGGCCACCCCUGGUGUCCCCAGAUGUCCCCAAAGCCACCUCAGAUGUCCCCAAGGUCCUCUCAGAAGUCCCAGAUGUCCCCAAGGCCACCCCAGAUGUCCCCAAGGCCACCUCAGGUGUCCCCAAGGCCACCCCAGAUGUCCCAGAUGUCCCCAAGGCCACCUGAUGUGUCCCCAGAUGUCCCCAAGGCCACCCCAGAUGUCCUCAACUGUCCCCAAGGCCACCUCAGAUGUCCCCAAGGCCACCCCUGGUGUCCCCUCAGAAGUCCCAGAUGUCCCCAAGGCCACCCCGGGUGUCCCCAGGCCCCGUCCGGCCGUGGCCGAAGCCCCUCAGGCGUCGCCGCUCGCAGCGUCCGGCCCGGCCCUGCAGCUCCACCUGCACCGGCCGGGCCUGGUGGCCACCGUGGCCACCGAGAGCCUGGCCC
This 552-nucleotide long non-coding RNA is filed under the name Parus major (Great Tit). Its description in RNAcentral is "lncRNA (ENSPMJG00000004628.1)". Lineage: Eukaryota; Metazoa; Chordata; Aves; Passeriformes; Paridae. The record is from RNAcentral.